GAUGAACGCUAGCUACAGGCUUAACACAUGCAAGUCGAGGGGAAACGAUAUUGGAAGCUUGCUUCCGAUAGGCGUCGACCGGCGCACGGGUGAGUAACGCGUAUCCAACCUGCCCAUCACUUGGGGAUAACCUUGCGAAAGUAAGACUAAUACCCAAUGACGUCUCUAGAAGACAUCUGAAGGAGAUUAAAGAUUUAUCGGUGAUGGAUGGGGAUGCGUCUGAUUAGCUUGUUGGCGGGGUAACGGCCCACCAAGGCGACGAUCAGUAGGGGUUCUGAGAGGAAGGUCCCCCACAUUGGAACUGAGACACGGUCCAAACUCCUACGGGAGGCAGCAGUGAGGAAUAUUGGUCAAAUGGGGCGAGAGCCUGAACCAGCCAAGUAGCGUGCAGGAUGACGGCCCUAUGGGUUGUAAACUGCUUUUAUAAGGGAAUAAAGUGGGAGUCGUGACUCUUUUUGCAUGUACCUUAUGAAUAAGGACCGGCUAAUUCCG
RNAcentral lists this ribosomal RNA (492 nucleotides) under uncultured bacterium. RNAcentral's name for it is "bacterial SSU rRNA". It matches the Rfam family "Bacterial small subunit ribosomal RNA", at positions 28 to 505 of the family's 1533-position model. The record is from RNAcentral.